Phrynosoma platyrhinos (Desert horned lizard) is the source of this 72-nucleotide non-coding RNA. The record is from the annotation of a GenBank genome assembly. Lineage: Eukaryota; Metazoa; Chordata; Lepidosauria; Squamata; Phrynosomatidae.
GCCAGUGCGGCAUAGUGGUUUGAGCAUUUGACUAUGACUCUGGAUACCAGGGUUCAAAUCCCUGUUCAGCCA